CCUACGGGAGGCAGCAGUGGGGAAUAUUGCACAAUGGGGGAAACCCUGAUGCAGCGACGCCGCGUGAGUGAAGAAGUAAUUCGUUAUGUAAAGCUCUAUCAGCAGGGAAGAAAAUGACGGUACCUGAGUAAGAAGACCCGGCUAACUACGUGCCAGCAGCCGCGGUAAUACGUAGGGGGCAAGCGUUAUCCGGAUUUACGGGGUGGAAAGGGAGCGUAGACGGCAGUGCAAGUCUGGAGUGAAAGGCGGGGGCUCAACCCCCGGACUGCUCUGGAAACUGUACGGCUGGAGUGCAGGAGAGGUAAGUGGAAUUCCUAGUGUAGCGGUGAAAUGCGUAGAUAUUAGGAGGAACACCAGUGGCGAAGGCGGCUUACUGGACUGUAACUGACGUUGAGGCUCGCAAGCGUGGGGAGCAAACAGGAUUAGAUACCCCUGUAGUC
This 440-nucleotide ribosomal RNA is filed under the name uncultured bacterium. RNAcentral's name for it is "partial 16S ribosomal RNA". It matches the Rfam family "Bacterial small subunit ribosomal RNA", at positions 338 to 795 of the family's 1533-position model. The record is from RNAcentral.